RNAcentral lists this ribosomal RNA (253 nucleotides) under uncultured bacterium. RNAcentral's name for it is "partial 16S ribosomal RNA". It matches the Rfam family "Bacterial small subunit ribosomal RNA", at positions 524 to 776 of the family's 1533-position model. The record is from RNAcentral.
UACGUAGGGCGCAAGCGUUGUCCGGAAUUAUUGGGCGUAAAGAGCUCGUAGGCGGUUCGUCGCGUCGGCUGUGAAAACCCGGAGCUCAACUCCGGGCCUGCAGUCGAUACGGGCGGACUUGAGUGUUGCAGGGGAGACUGGAAUUCCUGGUGUAGCGGUGAAAUGCGCAGAUAUCAGGAGGAACACCGGUGGCGAAGGCGGGUCUCUGGGCCGAUACUGACGCUGAGGAGCGAAAGCGUGGGGAGCGAACAGG